RNAcentral lists this ribosomal RNA (418 nucleotides) under uncultured eukaryote. Its description in RNAcentral is "SSU rRNA". It matches the Rfam family "Eukaryotic small subunit ribosomal RNA", at positions 592 to 1018 of the family's 1831-position model. The record is from RNAcentral.
CAAUAGCGUAUAUUUAAGUUGUUGCAGUUAAAAGCUCGUAGUUGGAUUUCGGAUGUGAACGACCGGUCCGCCGUUGCGGUGUGCACUGGACGUUUGUAUCUUGUUGUCGGGGACGCGCUCCUGACCUUAACUGGGAGGGACGCGGAGUCGGCGCUGUUACUUUGAAAAAUUAGAGUGUUCAAAGCGGGCUUACGCUUGAAUAUUUCAGCAUGGAAUAACACUAUAGGACUCCUGUCCUAUUUCGUUGGUCUCGGGACGGGAGUAAUGAUUAAGAGGAACAGUUGGGGGCAUUCGUAUUUCAUUGUCAGAGGUGAAAUUCUUGGAUUUAUGAAAGACGAACUUCUGCGAAAGCAUUUGCCAAGGAUGUUUUCAUUAAUCAAGAACGAAAGUUGGGGGCUCGAAGACGAUCAGAUACCGU